CUCCGUCAAUGGAGCUCACUUGCUUUGUCUUAGCCCCUCUGAGAAUCAUCGUCAGAUUCAACUCAGAUCGUUUCCCGAGGUUUUUGGCUUUUAAAAUGCAGAGGCCACAGGACGUAGCAUCGAAAGGUUUACACACCCAAGCCUGACCCUAACUCCCCCAUCACUCACUGCCUGCCCGGGACCGCCAUCUUGUUCCCGUCUCCGCUGGACGUGGCCAACGCGGAUGUGACGUUGACGCUGACGCGGGCACGCACACUUCCGGUGGCCGGGACUCGCCCCGCGGUGGGAUCUGGUCCUGGAGUUGUUUGCACCAGGUGGGUGGCCGUGUCCUACCGCCGUGUUUUGUUUCGCCUGGGACUAGUGGUCUUGAAGUCGACGCUAGGAGGGGACGACAGAAUUGGCCCGCGGAGGGCGAUCCUGGGAAGAGCCGCCUCACCGGAAAUAGAUUAGAAUCACAAAUCCAACCGCGCGCACCUGCUGAAUCCGGAGCGGGCGGGGGCGGGGCCGGCAAUCUGAAUUUUAAUGAGUUUCCAAAAGGCUAAUCACAGACCGGGGGAUUUGUUUUCCUUCUGACCUGUUCACUGUAGCUAGUUCUGGGUAAUUAGAGAACGAAAAGCAGUAGUGCACCAAUGAGAGCUGAUUAUUUUCUUCGAACAGGGUCUUGCUGUAUGACCCCCACUUCCUAGAACUCAAGAUCCUCCUGCCUGGAGUUGCUGGCCCUAGCCGAGAACUGAAAUUAUUUUAACAUUAUUGUUGGUGGUGCCACUAGGCAUAGGGAACAGUGUCAUAUCUGAUACGUUUUUGCAUCUUUGAGACCGUCAUGGUGUGUAGUCCAGAAUAGCCUCUUGCCUCAGCCUCCUGAGGGAUGGUAAUCCGUCUCAGGUUUGCCACCUCAUUAAAAACAGCCGGACGGUGGUGGCACACGCCUUUAAUCCCAGCACUCGGGAGGCAGAGGCAGGCAGAUCUCUGUGAGUUCGAGGCCAGCCUGGUCUACAAAGCGAGAUCCAGGAAAGGCGCAAAGCUACACAGAGAAACCCUGUCUCGGAAAAACAAACAGACAAACAAACAAACAAAAACCCUGGCCACAUUUCAUCUGUGCAUACACCAUUCUAAACUAGUUGUAGAACAGUUUAAGAGACCAAUUACAAAAAGGCUGUUACGUCUGUACAAUUGUUUCUCCCUUUUUUUUUUUUCUCUCUCUCUCAUGUACUUGGAAGUUUUAUGAACAUGUGAAAUGGUAGCAUUAGGAAGUGACCCUGACGUCUAGGUUUAUGUUUCAAAGGGAGGACACUUACCAAGCAUACUAAAAGCCCUGGGUUUGAACUCCCAACACUGCAAAAGAGAAGAAAAUGACCCUCUAGUCAUUCCUGUUUUGGUAUAACUGGCUUUGUUUUGAAAGGCAUAAUAUGCCUUUUAUAAAAUCUUUUUACUUUUAACCUAUUUGUGAUAUGUUUAUGUUGGAUUUCUUGCUGAUAACAUAUAGGCAAGUCUUCCUUUUUAUGCGUACUGUCUGAUAACCUCAUUUUAAUUAGAAUGUUUAAACUAUUUUCAUUAAGGUGAUUAUAAACACA
Peromyscus maniculatus bairdii (prairie deer mouse) is the source of this 1571-nucleotide non-coding RNA. Lineage: Eukaryota; Metazoa; Chordata; Mammalia; Rodentia; Cricetidae. The record is from RefSeq and is a predicted model, not a curated record.